GCCUCCAUGGCGCAACCGGUUAGCGCGUUCGGCUGUUAACCGAAUGGUUGGUGGUUCGAGCCCACCCAGGGGCG
This is a non-coding RNA of Schistosoma haematobium, 74 nucleotides long. The record is from Rfam. NCBI's taxonomy places the organism in Eukaryota, Metazoa, Platyhelminthes, Trematoda, Strigeidida, Schistosomatidae.